This 373-nucleotide ribosomal RNA is filed under the name uncultured Bacteroidota bacterium. RNAcentral describes it as "bacterial SSU rRNA". It matches the Rfam family "Bacterial small subunit ribosomal RNA", at positions 521 to 896 of the family's 1533-position model. Lineage: Bacteria; Pseudomonadati; Bacteroidota. The record is from RNAcentral.
UAAAACGGAGGAUCCAAGCGUUAUCCGGAAUCAUUGGGUUUAAAGGGUCCGUAGGUGGAUUAAUAAGUCAGAGGUGAAAUCCUGCAGCUCAACUGUAGAACUGCCUUUGAAACUGUUAAUCUUGAGUCAUUAUGAAGUGGUUAGAAUGUGUAGUGUAGCGGUGAAAUGCAUAGAUAUUACACAGAAUACCGAUUGCGAAGGCAGAUCACUAAUAAUGUACUGACACUGAGGGACGAAAGCGUGGGGAGCGAACAGGAUUAGAUACCCUGGUAGUCCACGCCGUAAACGAUGGUCACUAGCUGUUCGGACUUCGGUCUGAGUGGCUAAGCGAAAGUGAUAAGUGACCCACCUGGGGAGUACGUUCGCAAGAAUG